RNAcentral lists this long non-coding RNA (544 nucleotides) under Salmo salar (Atlantic salmon). RNAcentral's name for it is "lncRNA (ENSSSAG00000095300.1)". Lineage: Eukaryota; Metazoa; Chordata; Actinopteri; Salmoniformes; Salmonidae. The record is from RNAcentral.
CCACAGACAAGGCACGGGUGGUGGGUCACCAAAGGCUGCCCUUACCCCAGCAGAGGACAUGGCCUUGGAGCUAAAUAAAGGCAGGCCCGUCUUAGAGGGGAUCCCUGGGGGGAAAGAGACGAGCAUAGGUUCCUCCCAAGAUGCCACCCGCUUCAUUCAAGUGUCUGGCAGCACUGUGUUCCUGUUAGAGCCACCAGCACAAGCACCAGACGAUGCUGAUCCAGGUGAAGGCCCCAGUGCAGCAGCAACAGCACAUGAUGGAGACGAUGAUGAGGAGGAGACCAUCUCUCUGGAAUCCAGAAGGCAUGAGGACCCAGAUGCUAUACAGUGGGAAAACCAGCCUGGCAACAUAGUGCGUAUUAAUAAAAGGACACCACAUCCUGCCAAAUUCCAGCUGCGCUAAUUGUAUUGUGUUCACAGAGCUCACAAGCUAUCAGAAAGUUGUAUGGCAACCACCUCCGGCGCCAAAUAGAACUGGCAGACAUAGACAUUCAGUACAAGAAGAAAAAGAUGGAAAAUCUUGCACUGGAGUCCGAAAUAAAAA